AUUGAACGCUGGCGGCAGGCCUAACACAUGCAAGUCGAGCGGAUGAAGGGAGCUUGCUCCUGGAUUCAGCGGCGGACGGGUGAGUAAUGCCUAUGAAUCUGCCUGGUAGUGGGGGAUAACGUCCGGAAACGGGCGCUAAUACCGCAUACGUCCUGAGGGAGAAAGUGGGGGAUCUUCGGACCUCACGCUAUCAGAUGAGCCUAGGUCGGAUUAGCUAGUUGGUGGGGUAAAGGCCUACCAAGGCGACGAUCCGUAACUGGUCUGAGAGGAUGAUCAGUCACACUGGAACUGAGACACGGUCCAGACUCCUACGGGAGGCAGCAGUGGGGAAUAUUGGACAAUGGGCGAAAGCAUGAUCCAGCCAUGCCGCGUGUGUGAAGAAGGUCUUCGGAUUGUAAAGCACUUUAAGUUGGGAGGAAGGGCAGUAAGUUAAUACCUUGCUGUUUUGACGUUACCAACAGAAUAAGCACCGGCUAACUUCGUG
RNAcentral lists this ribosomal RNA (484 nucleotides) under uncultured bacterium. Its description in RNAcentral is "partial 16S ribosomal RNA". It matches the Rfam family "Bacterial small subunit ribosomal RNA", at positions 30 to 507 of the family's 1533-position model. The record is from RNAcentral.